RNAcentral lists this ribosomal RNA (254 nucleotides) under uncultured bacterium. RNAcentral describes it as "partial 16S ribosomal RNA". It matches the Rfam family "Bacterial small subunit ribosomal RNA", at positions 524 to 776 of the family's 1533-position model. The record is from RNAcentral.
UACGUAGGGGGCAAGCGUUGUCCGGAAUUAUUGGGCGUAAAGAGCUCGUAGGCGGUUGGGUAAGUCGGGUGUGAAAACUCCAGGCUCAACUUGGAGAUGCCACCCGAUACUGCUCUGACUUGAGUUCGGUAGGGGAGUGGGAAGUUCCUGGUGUAGCGGUGAAAUGCGCAGAUAUCAGGAGGAACACCGGUGGCGAAGGCGGAUCUCUGGGCCGAUACUGACGCUGAGGAGCGAAAGCGUGGGGAGCGAACAGG